CUAACGCCGGCCCAGAAGGCGGUGGCAUACGGAGGAUCCAAGGGUUAUCCGGAAUGACUGGGCGGAAAGAGUUGCGUAGGUGGCAGAGUAAGGUGAUAGUGAAAGCGUCCGGCUCAACCGGAUAUCCAUUAUCAAAACUGCUCAGAUAGAGGACGAGAGAGGUUAUUGGAAUUCCUAGUGUAGGGGUAAAAUCCGUUGAUAUUAGGAGGAACACCGAUGGCGUAGGCAGAUAACUGGCUCGUUCCUGACACUAAGGCACGAAAGCGUGGGUAGCAAACAGGAUUAGAUACCCGUGUAGUC
RNAcentral lists this ribosomal RNA (300 nucleotides) under uncultured bacterium. RNAcentral's name for it is "bacterial SSU rRNA". It matches the Rfam family "Bacterial small subunit ribosomal RNA", at positions 497 to 795 of the family's 1533-position model. The record is from RNAcentral.